Papaver somniferum (opium poppy) is the source of this 5417-nucleotide long non-coding RNA. RefSeq lists it as uncharacterized. The record is from RefSeq and is a predicted model, not a curated record. The transcript has 2 exons. Lineage: Eukaryota; Viridiplantae; Streptophyta; Magnoliopsida; Ranunculales; Papaveraceae.
ACUUCAUUUCCUCUUUCCCUUUAGUUUUCUUUCACUCUUUCACAUCUGUUGGUGCAACUACAAAUCUUACAGAUAAUUAGAGAUCAAUAUAUUUCAAGGAGAGAAACAGAAGCAAAGAGAUGGGUCAUUGAUUGUUUGGGAUGAGAGAAGACGCAAGGCUGAAUUGGUUCUGUUUUGUGGUAAGAUUCAAGAAAAAUCGUUUUUUCUCAACAACAGUGAUUGAAUCCGGAGAUGGUGGCUGAGAGCGUAGACGGCAGUGAAGAAGAAGGUGUUGCUGCCAUGGGUUUCAGUUUGUAUUGGCUGUAUGGAGCUCAGAUUAGGGAUGGGUUUUGUUUGGUAAUUUUCUAUAGAACAAGGAUGGAAGCCCGAGAUGAAUUCCGUUAUGAAAUUGAAGAUAGAAACUGAUGAUGAUUUGGUUUGGUGUCAGAUCAAACUCAAGCUCAGUGGAGGAGGAAAGCAAAGAAAUGAGGACUGGUGUUGGUAUUGUUGCAGUGAGGAUUAAUUACAGGAGGUAUAAUUUGGAGUCUGUUGAUUGUAGAACUGGUGGUGUUCAAUGAUUCGAAUUAGGGUUGCUGCUGCCGAUUAAUGGCUGUAUACAAGAAGAUUAAGCAACAGAUUUUGGGGGUCUUACUAUCGAUUGAAAUUGGGUAUGUAUUAUUAGGUCAACUGGUGAUGGUGGUGGUGAAAGCAACAUCAAGAUAUGUGGGCACUCGAAUGGAAGAAUGGCAACCAAAUUGGGAUCCGAGGCAUGAACUGAAUUGGGGGUUUUAGUUCUCUGAAGAAAUUAGCCAACAAUGAAGAAGUUGGGAAGGUCGAUUGAAGGCAAGCAGAAAGGUGUUGCUGCCAUGAAUGUUGUGAUUAUGAAAGACAGGUCAGUGGACGGAGUCGGGGGGUCUUACUAUCGAUUGAAAUUGGGUAUGUAUUAUUAGGUCAACUGGUGAUGGUGGUGGUGAAAGCAACAUCAAGAUAUGUGGGCACUCGAAUGGCAACCAAAUUGGGAUCCGAGGCAUGAACUGAAUUGGGGGUUUUAGUUCUCUGAAGAAGUUAGCCAACAAUGAAGAAGUUGGGAAGGUCGAUUGAAGGCAAGCAGAAAGGUGUUGCUGCCAUGAAUGUUGUGAUUAUGAAAGACAGGCCAGUGGACGGAGUCGGGGGUCUUACUAUCGAUUGAAAUUGGGUAUGUAUUAUUAGGUCAACUGGUGAUGGUGGUGGUGAAAGCAACAUCAAGAUAUGUGGGCACUCGAAUGGAAGAAUGGCAACCAAAUUGGGAUCCGAGGCAUGAACUGAAUUGGGGGUUUUAGUUCUCUGAAGAAAUUAGCCAACAAUGAAGAAGUUGGGAAGGUCGAUUGAAGGCAAGCAGAAAGGUGUUGCUGCCAUUAAUGUUGUGAUUAUGAAAGACAGGUCAGUGGACGGAGUCGGGAAAGAGUUCAGUUAAGAAGGUAUUAGUAGUUGGAGAGUUCAUGGCAACAGCUCUCUACUAGGUGUUGCUGCACGUGAUUGAAUGGGAUCUGGUGUUUGUGUUGUGUAAGCAAUUUCUAUGAUGUAUUCCAACAUUUAGCUUUGAUUUGGUACGAGUUCUAUCUACUCAACAGUAUGGCGAGGACAAAGUAUUUGGAAGGUUCAUCUGGUUGCAGCUGGUGAUUACAUUGAACGAUGAGAAGAUGGAGAAAGUGAUGCUGUUGCCAGAUCUGAAUGGAGAUGGGAAUCAGCACGAGCAAUGCUGUAUACAAUGGGCAGAGGCUGGACUUCACUGAAGGCCUGUAUUUGACGAUUGGCGCUCAUGAAUGGACUGGGCUUUGGAGGUGCUGCUAGCGGCCUUAAAGGGGAGAUGCCUAUAAAUACUCACUACACAGACUCAAAACAGGGAUGCCGAAUACAGUGAGAAACCAGGGUUUGAGCAUUUUUACAAGUUUUUCAAUUGUUUGAGUUUAUUUUCUUGAGCAUUUCUAUGGCUUUUGAGAAAGCCAUGACUUGCUAAACCAUUGUUAGGGUGUAGGGAUGAACUUGUAGGUUAGAUCAUUUGUGUUUAUGAACAAGAGUUUCUUUAAAUCAAAAGCUUAAUUUUCUGUUUGAGUAUCUCAUAUUUGUGGAUUGUUCUUAUAAAUCUUUUCAUGUUUUAUGCCAAGUAUACUAGAUAGGUAAGUUAUAGACAAUCCCAUUGAGACCUGAUUCACAUUAGAUUUAUGAAUACUCUUCUACUUUGUAUGCAUGUAUACAUAGUGAUUAGGGGUUCUACUUUUAGGUCGAGAUUAAACAAUCUUUCGUCGAUUAUUAUCAAUAGUUCUUAACGACAUAUCUUCCAUGUAUUAGUCGCUGUGUGUUGCUGCUUUACAUGAGUAAUAUAAAACACAAGUAAUCAUAACUUGCAACGGAUUCCCGGAUCCUUAACCUUUUCUCACUUUGCUUGUCACUUUAAUAGUUUCAUUUACAUCCAAUUUAUUUGCUUAUUUCUUAGAAUUCAUAAAAUCUCUUGAAUCGAUAUUGAUUAGGAAGUUAGUUGUAUUAGCUAGAAGUAGUUUACACUCCUCGUGGGAACGAACCACAUUUGCUAUUGUCUACAUCAUCGACACCGUGCACUUGCGGUAAAACAAAGGCGGUUCUUCGAUCCAUCAAGUUUUUGGCGCCGCUGCCGGGGAGUGGCUGCUAAUUACUCUAGUUUAUACUCUUGAAUUUUCUAGUUAUAGUUUUUGUACAUAGUGUAUUUUUGUUUUUAGUUUCUUUUCAUAUUUUUCUUUUAGAAUUUUCUUUCAGGUACUUUUGUUGCGGCAAUAACGUGUUAUCGAGAGAAUGAGUCCAGGCCUUUCGGAGAAUUCAUGUAUGGACCACAAUAUCAGGAGAUUUGGGAACAAAAUCGUUUCAGGCUUUACAUAUAUGCUGGUAGGAUGUUGUUGUUGUUAUGCAUCAUUCUUCACUUCGGAUGAGAUUACUUGAUGCGCGCAAGCUGGGAAACAAAUAUCAUUUGCUUCAUGGGAGUCAACCCAUCAGAUUUGUUUCCUUUACUCUACCUUCUAUUUCUGUUUUCCUAUUGCAUAUCAUAUUUUAGAAUUUCCCACCUUAACUCUACGUCGGAUGACUCAAUUACAUUGAGGAGAAUGUAAAGUUUAAGUGUGGGGGAGUGGUUAACCAUAUAUACUUGUGGUAGGCAUUCACUUUAGUUAUGAAUUUUGUUAAAAAAAAUAAAAAACAAAACAACAACAACAACAAUUUUUUCUUAAUUUUUUUUAAUGAUUUGACCAACUGUUGAGCGGGUCUUUUAAGAAAAAUUUGAACGACAUGACUAGCUGUUGAGCGGUCUUUAUGAUUAUCUGUCUAGCUGUUUAGCAGACUUAUUUAAACCACUGUUUAGUGGUUCGCCUUACUGUUUAGCGGGUUUCUCUCAACCACUGUUUAGUGGUUCCGUCUAGCUGUUCAGCAGACGUCUCUCCAUAUCCAGCUGUGUAGCAGAUGUAAUUUUUUCUUGUUUUUCUCGGGACUAGCAAAAUGUAAGUGUGGGGGAAUCUGAUAAGCAUGCUAGUGCGACACUUUUAUACCUACAUUUAUACUAGCUAGGUGUCGAUAUCUCGUUAAUAUUUAUAUUUUAGAACUUUUACAUGAGAUACAAGCAAGUUUGUUCACUCAGAAAAUAAAUGGCUAAAUGGGGAGUUAAAUGGCGUUUGUGACAAAAUAGCCCAAGGCACCAAAAGAGACGGGGCACAUGGUGGUCUGGUUGUUCAUUUUCGCUCAUGUUGGUUACCAUCUAAACCACCUGCUGGGCUACAUCAUUUCACGGACAGAAAAUGGUGAAACAAGAAUAAGUGAGACGUGGCAACCUGUACACCACCACAUCUCUUUUCUUGUAGUAAUCAAAACAAGAGAAAACUUCAUUUCCUCUUUCCCUUUUAGUUUUCUUUCACUCUUUCACAUCUGUUGGUGCAACUACAAAUCUUACAGAGAAUUAGAGAUCAAGAUAUGUCAAGGAGAGAAACAGAUGAUGAGACAGAAGCAAAGAGAUGGGUUAUUGAUAUUUUGGGAUGAGAGAAGACGCAAGGCUGAAUUAGUUCUGUUUUGUGGUAAGAUUCAAGAUAAAUCAUUUUUUCUCAACAGCAGUGAUUGAAUCCGGAGAUGGUGGCUGAGAGCGUAGACGGCAGUGAAGAAGAAGGUGUUGCUGCCAUGGGUUUCAGUUUGUAUUGGCUGUAUGGAGCUCAGAUCAGAGAUGGGUUUUGUUUGGAAAUUUUCUGUAGAACAAGGAUGGAAGCGCAAGAUGAAUUCCAUUGUGAAAUUGAAGAUAGCAACUGAUGAUGAUUUGGUUUGGUGUCGGGUCAAACUCAAGCUCAGUUGAUGAGGAAAGAAAAGAAAUGAGGACUGGUGUUGGUAUUGUUGCAGUGAGGAUUAAUUGCAGGUGGUAUAAUUUGGGGUCUGUUGAUUGAAGAACUGGUGGUGUUCAAUGAUUCAAAUUAGGGUUGCUGCUACCGAUUAAUGGCUGUAUACAAGAAGAUUAAGCAACGGAUUUUGGGGGUCUUACUAUCGAUUGAAAUUGGGUCUGUAUUAUUAGGUCAACUGGUGAUGGUGGUGGUGAAAGCAACAUCAAGAUGUGUGGGCACUCAAAUGGAAGAAUGGCAGCCAAAUUGGGAUCCCAGGCAUGAACUGAAUUGGGGGUUUUAGUUUUCUGAAGAAAUUAGCCAACAAUGAAGAAGUUGGGAAGGUCGAUUGAAGGCAAGCAGAAAGGUGUUGCUGCCAUGAAUGUUGUGAUUAUGAAAGACAGGUCAGUGGCCGGAGUCGGGAAAGAGUUCAGUUAAGAAGGUACUAGUAGUUGGGAGAGUUCAUGGAAACAACUCUCUACUAGGUGUUGCUGCACGUGAUUGAAUGGGAUCUGGUGUUUGUGUUGUAUAAGCAAUUGUGGUGAUGUAUUCCAGCAUUUAGCUUUAAUUUGGUACGAGUUCUAUCUACUCAACAGUAUGGCGAGGACAAAGUAUUUGGAAGGUUCAUCUGGUUGCAGCUGGUUCUUACAUUGAACAAUGAGAAGAUGGAGAAAGUGAUGUUGUUGCCAGAUCUGAAUGGAGAUGGGAAUCAGCAUGAGAAAUGCUGUCUACAAUGGGCAGAGGCUGGACUUCACUGAAAGCCUUUAUCUGGCGAUUGUUCUUAUAAAUCUUUUCAUGUUUUAUGCCAAGUAUACUACAUAGGUAAGUUAUAGACAAUCCCAUUGAGACCUGAUUCACAUUAGAUUUAUGAAUACUCUUCUACUUUGUAUCCCAUGUAUACAUAGUGAUUAGGGGUUCUACUUUUAGGUCGAGAUCAAACAAUCUUUUGUCGAUUAUUAUCAAUAGUUCUUAACGACAUAUCUUCCAUGUAUUAGUCGCUGUGUGUUGAUGCUUUACAUGAGUAAUAUAAAACACAAGUAAUCAUAACUUGAAACGGAUUCCGGGAUCCUUAACCUUUUCUCA